This 464-nucleotide ribosomal RNA is filed under the name uncultured bacterium. RNAcentral describes it as "partial 16S ribosomal RNA". It matches the Rfam family "Bacterial small subunit ribosomal RNA", at positions 29 to 507 of the family's 1533-position model. The record is from RNAcentral.
ACGAACGCUGGCGGCGUGCUUAACACAUGCAAGUCGAACGGAAAGGCCCCUUUGGGGGUCCUCGAGUGGCGAACGGGUGAGUAACACGUGAGUAACCUGCCCUUGACUUCGGGAUAACUUCAGGAAACUGGGGCUAAUACCGGAUAGGAAUCCUUGCUGCAUGGUGGGGGUUGGAAAGCUUCGGCGGUUUUGGAUGGACUCGCGGCUUAUCAGCUUGUUGGUGGGGUAGUGGCUUACCAAGGCUUUGACGGGUAGCCGGCCUGAGAGGGCGACCGGCCACAUUGGGACUGAGAUACGGCCCAGACUCCUACGGGAGGCAGCAGUGGGGAAUAUUGCACAAUGGGCGGAAGCCUGAUGCAGCAACGCCGCGUGCGGGAUGACGGCCUUCGGGUUGGAAACCGCUUUCAGCAGGGGCGAAGCUUGUGGUGACGGUACCUGCAGAAGAAGCACCGGCUAACUACGUG